This 200-nucleotide unclassified non-coding RNA is filed under the name soil metagenome. RNAcentral's name for it is "partial contains internal transcribed spacer 2 and large subunit ribosomal RNA". The record is from RNAcentral.
ACAGUCAGCUCCUCCAAAAUGAAUCAGCUUGCCAGUGUUUGGUGGGCAUCACAGGUGUGAUAACUAUCUACGCUUGUGGUUUUCCACCAGGUAACCUUCAGCAGUGGAGGUUCACUGGAGCUCACAGACGUCUCUCCUCAGCGAGGACAGCUCUUUGAAUGUUUGAUCUCAAAUCAGGUAGGACUACCCGCUGAACUUAA